CAGCCGCCGCGGUAAUACGAAGGGGGCUAGCGUUGUUCGGAAUUACUGGGCGUAAAGCGCACGUAGGCGGACAUUUAAGUCAGGGGUGAAAUCCCGGGGCUCAACCCCGGAACUGCCUUUGAUACUGGGUGUCUAGAGUAUGGAAGAGGUGAGUGGAAUUCCGAGUGUAGAGGUGAAAUUCGUAGAUAUUCGGAGGAACACCAGUGGCGAAGGCGGCUCACUGGUCCAUUACUGACGCUGAGGUGCGAAAGCGUGGGGAGCAAACAGGAUUAGAUACCCCGGUAGUCCAUGUCUCUUAUAC
RNAcentral lists this ribosomal RNA (301 nucleotides) under uncultured bacterium. Its description in RNAcentral is "partial 16S ribosomal RNA". It matches the Rfam family "Bacterial small subunit ribosomal RNA", at positions 509 to 807 of the family's 1533-position model. The record is from RNAcentral.